CCUACGGGAGGCAGCAGUGGGGAAUAUUGCACAAUGGGCGCAAGCCUGAUGCCGAAACGCCGCGUGAGCGAUGAAGGCCUUAGGGUCGUAAACCUCUGUCCUAAGGGAAGAAUAAUGACGGUACCUUAGGAGGAAGCACCGGCUAACUACGUGCCAGCAGCCGCGGUAAUACGUAGGGGGCGAGCGUUAUCCGGAAUCACUGGGCGUAAAGGGUGCGUAGGCGGCCCUGCAAGUCAGGAGUUUAAUCCCUCGGCUCAACCGAGGUCAGCUGUUGGAACUGUACGGCGUGAGUGCAGGGGGGGAGGGCGGAAUUUUUUGUGGGGAGGUGGAAUUCGUUGGAAAUACGAGGACCCCCGGGUGCGAAGGCGGCUCCCUGGACCUUAACCUACGCUUAGGUACGAAAGCGUUGGGAGCGAACAGGAUUAGAUACCGCAGUAGUC
Molecule: ribosomal RNA, 440 nt
Filed under: uncultured bacterium
Lineage: Bacteria
Description: partial 16S ribosomal RNA
Rfam family: Bacterial small subunit ribosomal RNA
Source: RNAcentral